GAUGAACGCUGGCGGCGUGCCUAAUACAUGCCAGUCGAGCGAACAGACGAGGAGCUUGCUCCUCUGACGUUAGCGGCGGACGGGUGAGUAACACGUGGAUAACCUACCUAUAAGACUGGGAUAACUUCGGGAAACCGGAGCUAAUACCGGAUAAUAUAUUGAACCGCAUGGUUCAAUAGUGAAAGACGGUUUUGCUGUCACUUAUAGAUGGAUCCGCGCCGCAUUAGCUAGUUGGUAAGGUAACGGCUUACCAAGGCAACGAUGCGUAGCCGACCUGAGAGGGGGAUCGCCCAACCGGGAAUGAGAAACGGGUCAGAAUCCUAAGGGAGGGAGCGAGGGGGAAUGUUUGCGAAAGGGGGGAAGGCCGAACGAGGAAAGCCGCGGGGAGGAAUAAGGGUUUUGGGAUCUAAAAACCUUUUUUUUGGGAAAAAACAAAUGUGGAAAAAACCCGGGGCGUCUUAAGGGUCCGUAAGCAGAAGGCCCCGGUAAACACGGG
Molecule: ribosomal RNA, 496 nt
Filed under: uncultured bacterium
Lineage: Bacteria
Description: partial 16S ribosomal RNA
Rfam family: Bacterial small subunit ribosomal RNA
Source: RNAcentral